Molecule: ribosomal RNA, 748 nt
Filed under: uncultured Ruminococcus sp.
Lineage: Bacteria; Bacillati; Bacillota; Clostridia; Eubacteriales; Oscillospiraceae
Description: bacterial SSU rRNA
Rfam family: Bacterial small subunit ribosomal RNA
Source: RNAcentral
GAUGAACGCUGGCGGCGUGCCUAACACAUGCAAGUCGAGCGAAGCACUUUGCUUAGAUUCUUCGGAUGAAGAGGAUUGUGACUGAGCGGCGGACGGGUGAGUAACGCGUGGGUAACCUGCCUCAUACAGGGGGAUAACAGUUAGACAUGACUGCUAAUACCGCAUAAGACCACAGCACCGCAUGGUGCGGGGGUAAAAACUCCGGUGGUAUGAGAUGGACCCGCGUCUGAUUAGCUAGUUGGUAAGGUAACGGCUUACCAAGGCGACGAUCAGCAGCCGACCUGAGAGGGUGACCGGCCACAUUGGGACUGAGACACGGCCCAAACUCCUACGGGAGGCAGCAGUGGGGAAUAUUGCACAAUGGGGGAAACCCUGAUGCAGCGACGCCGCGUGAGCGAAGAAGUAUUUCGGUAUGUAAAGCUCUAUCAGCAGGGAAGAAAAUGACGGUACCUGACUAAGAAGCACCGGCUAAAUACGUGCCAGCAGCCGCGGUAAUACGUAUGGUGCAAGCGUUAUCCGGAUUUACUGGGUGUAAAGGGAGCGUAGACGGAUGGGCAAGUCUGAUGUGAAAACCCGGGGCUCAACCCCGGGACUGCAUUGGAAACUGUUCAUCUAGAGUGCUGGAGAGGUAAGUGGAAUUCCUAGUGUAGCGGUGAAAUGCGUAGAUAUUAGGAGGAACACCAGUGGCGAAGGCGGCUUACUGGACAGUAACUGACGUUGAGGCUCGAAAGCGUGGGGAGCAAACAGG